This is an RNA transcript of Canis lupus familiaris (dog), 2170 nucleotides long. It is a transcript of the gene named coagulation factor XII, with no coding region annotated. The transcript is spliced from 13 exons. The record is from RefSeq and is a predicted model, not a curated record. Lineage: Eukaryota; Metazoa; Chordata; Mammalia; Carnivora; Canidae.
UGAUCUGGAUUCCUGGGCAAGCAGCUGGACUAAUAGACAGACGCCAUGAGGCUUCUGCUGUUCCUGGGGUCCCUGCUGGGAAGCCUGGAGUCAGUACUUUUGACUCCACCUUGGAAAGCCCCCAAGGUGCAUAAUCACAGAGCGGACGAGCACACAGUGGUUCUCACUGUCACUGGGGAGCCCUGCUACUUCCCUUUCCAGUACAACCGGCAACUGUACCAUAAAUGCACCCACAGGGGCCGGCCUGGCCCCCAGCCCUGGUGUGCUACCACCCCCAACUUCGAGCAGGACCAGCAAUGGGCAUACUGUCUGGAGCCCAAGAAAGUGAAAGACCACUGCAGCAAACACAGUCCCUGCCAGAAGGGAGGGACCUGUGUGAACAUGCCAGACGGCCCACGCUGCAUCUGUCCAGAACACUUCACUGGGAAGCACUGCCAGAGAGAGAAGUGCUUUGAGCCUCAGCUUCUCCAGUUCUUCCAUGAAAAAGAAAUAUGGCAUAGGCUUGAGCCAGCCGGUGUGGCCAAGUGCGAGUGCAGGGGUCCUGAUGUCCACUGCAAGCUGGUGGCCAGCCAGGGCUGCCACACCAACCCGUGCCUCAACGGAGGCACUUGCUUCCAGGCAGAGACUCACCGCCUGUGCCGUUGCCCCACCGGCUACGCUGGACGCUUCUGCGACGUGGACACUGAGGCGCGCUGCUACCACGGCCGCGGGCUUGACUACCGCGGAGCGGCCGAUGCUGCGCUCUCGGGCGCUCGGUGUCAGCGGUGGGCCUCCGAGGCCAGCUACCAGGAAGUGCCUGCAGAGCAAGCGCUGAGCUGGGGGCUGGGCAACCACGCCUUCUGCCGGAACCCGGACAAUGACACCCGCCCGUGGUGCUUCGUGCGGAGCGGCGACCGGCUAAGCUGGGAAUACUGCCGCCUGGCGCGAUGCCAGGCACCGGGCCUGGCGAUCCCUCAGAUCCUGCCUCCCACCCAAGUCCCCUCUGGCCGUCCGACCCUUCCCGUGCCCUCGCCCUCAGCGUUGCAGAAGCCCCAGCCCCCGACCCCAGCCUCGAGCGCCACGCGGGAGCAGCCCGCGGCCGUGCCCAGUUCGCGCUGCGGACAGCGGCUCCGGAAGCGGCUGUCCUCGCUGAGCCGCGUCGUCGGGGGCCUGGUGGCCCUGCCCGGGGCGCACCCCUACAUCGCCGCCCUGUACUGGCGCCACAGCUUCUGCGCGGGCAGCCUCAUCGCCUCCUGCUGGGUGCUGACGGCGGCUCACUGUCUGCAGGACCGGCGAGUCCCCGCCCGCCCGGCGCCCGCGGGGGACCCCAGCUCCUCUCUCCCGCUCGCCCAGCUUCCGCGCGACGCCCGAGCCCGCGUCCCAGCUCCCGCUCCCUUCCCCGGCGCCCCAGGACCGAGCCGAAACCCAGGGAGGGGCUCGGGGGCAGGAGGCCUGUGGCGGGCUCUGAGCGCGCGCCCCCGCACCCCCCGCCCGCAGGCCGGCGCCGGGGGAGCUGACGGUGGUGCUCGGCCAGGACCGCCAUAACCGGAGCUGCGAGCAGUGCCAGACGCUGGCCGUGCGCGCGUACCGCCUGCACGAGUCCUUCUCGCCCGUCACCUACCAGCACGACCUGGCGCUGCUGCGCCUGCAGGAGACGGCGGACGGCCGCUGCGCGCUCCCGUCGCCUUUCGUUCAGCCGGUCUGCCUGCCUAGCGGCGCUGCCCGCCCAGCCGAGGCCCAGGCCGAGGCCGCACUCUGCGAGGUGGCCGGCUGGGGCCACCUAUUCGAGGAAAUCACUGUGCCAGCAGCGCCGUCUGGUGGCAAAGAGGAGAACUCCCUCUUAGAGCACUACCUGCCUCUCUGGAGCAGUCUGGGAGUGGUUGUCACCCAUGGCAUUCAGGCCCGAUAGGAAGAGUGGAGAAUGGACAUACAUGGUGGAUUACCACACUGGCUUCUGGAAGAGGCAGCAAGAUGGGGAUUCAGAAGUAUGGGCUCCAGAUUACACCAGGAUUUUCAUCUUACCUCAAUGGUCCUCAAAAGAUGCUUGUUUAAACCAUUGCCUCUGGCGGGGCACCUGGGUGGCUCAGUUGGUUGAGUGUCUGCCUUCAGCUCAGGUCAUGAUCCCAGGGUCCUGGGAUUGAGCCCCACGUUGGGGCUCCCUGCUCAGCAGGGAGACUGCUUCACCCCACCC